GCUUCACAUUCCCCAUAUUAAGUCUAAAUAGUGGUUAAAGCCAAGUAUGUGACUAUGAGCUGAACCAAUUUCCUCCAACUCCAAGGGCUGGAAUUUAGAAUUUUGACAUGCCACAAACUUGUGCAUUUUAAGAGGUUUGCAACUAACCCAUGGACCCUUGAGAUGCAAAGUUUGGAAUAUUCAAAGACCACAUGCCAUGUGCUUAUCCAAAAUAGCUUUAUUCCAUUUCACCGCCCAAACCCCACUUCUUUCACUGUCUUGGUCAAUUUUAAAAAUGGUAGUGGCAUUGGUAGAUAUGAAUCUAAGUAUUCUGAUAUGAGGUCGGCGGAUAAGAUGUUCGACGGAAUGCCACAUAGAAACCCUGCUUCUUGGGAUUCUUUGAUAGUGGGGUUAUUGCUAAACAAGUCUAUGAAGGGGGCAAUUGGGUUGCUAUUUUUCAUUGAUGGAUUAGGGCACUUUGAUUCACUGUCAGAUUAUAGAGACUGGAUUUGGGAUGAAUGUGUGUGCUGCAAGCUCAUUGACAACAACGUAUGCUAUUGUGGUCGAUUGGGCUUCCAUGAGUACACAAUAUGAACCUUGGGCUUGCAGGAAUUUAUAUGGGGUUUCAAGUUGGGUUUUGAAGCUGCAGACAUGCUUUUUGAAAUUGUACCCGAUAAUCUGGGAAACUAUGUGCUGCUGUGUAACAUGUUUGCGUGUAAUAGGAUGUUGGAGGAAGCUAAUGAGUUGUGAUUAAUGAUGGUCAAUGGGGGUAAGAGAGGAGUUUGGGUGUAGCUGAUUGAUGUUAAGAACGGUACCUUUGUUUCUACCGUGCACGACAGAUCACAUGUAGGUCUAAUGAGAUUUUUGACAUGUUGGGGAAGUUGGAGGCAUUUAUAAAUAGGGGAUAUGUGACUGAAACCCAAUAUGUAAUUAACUAGAAGCCUACAUUGGUAUAACAUUGGAAAAAUAGCUCUUGCAUUUGGCUACUCACUGAUCUGGUUGGGCACCAAUAAGGGUAAAGUACUUAGAGGACAGGUGGUGUUUGUCAUACAGUUUGAAGUUUGCUUUGGGGAAUUAAUUGUUGGAAUAGAGAUCAUUGUGAGGGAUAUCAAUCAGUUUCACCCACUCAUUGAUGGUUUGUGCUUAUGCAGAGAACUGGGAUUCACAUAAUGUUGGAUGUUUUAACACCCCUACUCACAUGGCUAGGAUGGCUGGGGAGCGGUCACGUGGGAUUGCCAGAAGUAGGCACAUGGGUAGAGACCAAGGAAUCCCACGCUAAAAAGAAUUUCAGAGCAAGAACAGUGUUAGAUCAAAAAGGAAUUUGGGGAUUUUGGUCUAGAUAUAGUUGCCGGGCAGUUAAAAGCAGUCCUGUACAUGUGGAAGUGUCAAAAAAGUGAAGUGGCCAAGGAUGUGACACAUUCCAGAGAAGAUGAUUGGAGAGGAUGGAGGCAAUUUCACUCCCAUUAUGCAGGCGUCUAGAGCAGUUACAGACUGGAUAUGCAUGACGCGUAAAGAAGACACUUAGUUGAAGGAAGAACAAACACCUAUCCCGCAACCACCGUCCAAUUAACCUUCCCAGCUCAACUAAACAGAUGAAGACCUUUUUAGAGAAAGAUGGUCCACACAUCACAUAAAUUUCCUUUUCAGCAAUGUAUCCUUGGUUCCUUAACUUUUAUCUACUCUAACCAAUUGUAGCAUAGUUCCUUAGUUUAGCCAGUAGUUUAGUCAGUGGCACAAUGCACACUGUAUACACACAUUGAUCUUUAUGCUCAAGUAUUCUCAUGCUAUGAAUGAGAAUACUAUAAACGAGACUACGAUUCAGGUUAUUUUCCUAUUGACAUAUUGUUUAAUGUGCUUUGUUAAUACCAAUUCAUUCAUUCUUCCCUAUUUUGCAUCGAUUCUUCUAGAGGAGUCUUCGAGCUUUUUAAUCCUGACCAAGAGUUCUUGUUCUCAAGGCAGAUACAACAUGAAGGAAAUGGUUACCUUACUCCGUAAUAGUCCCCUAUAGGAGUAUAAGUUUGGCAUGACGCACCUCACCAAGUCCGGGUGGAUCUGGAACACCCAUGCAUAUCUCAGAUGACUGAGUUUCUGCCAAAACAAAAGCCCUUCCCUUUUGUUUCUUUUCCUCUUCUGUUUUUGCUAACAUUUUUUUUAAAUAUAGAAUAAUUUCACUCUCCGCAGUCAUUUCUUGUUUGCACGUUCUUUGCCUGUUUGUAACAUGAUCACAUGUUACUUCUCUAACUAUAUCAAAUCCUUUUUUAAAAAAAAAAAAAUAGAAAAAGAAAAAAAGAAGCUCCAUUUUUCAUUGAUUUUGGUUGGUCAUUCUAACAUUUCCUUGUUACAAACUUUUACUCACUUGUGCAACACAAUUCAUUCAAACAUUAUGCUAUCUAAACGUGCUCAUUUGUUAAGGGAGACAUUUUUAUUUCCUUUCUUCACUCCAUUUAUUUAUUUAUUUUUCCUUCUUUCCUCUGGGUGCUCACAGAGUUUGUUGGAGGUUGGUGCACAAGAGAAGUUUCAGAUGAAGUUAUGGUCAGACAGAGAGAAUAAAGCAUAAUAAACCAAUUGCAAUGGGAACUCCCAAAAUUAUUCAUGUAUGAGGCAUGAGUUUGGAUAACUUGUUGUGACAUUUUUUAGUGUAUGCAUGGUGUAAAACCAACAGAACAUCCGAUCUCUGAAUCAAAGAUGCUCGUGUAUUGGAAUUACUUUGCUGCAGCAGUGGAAUAGAGAAGGCACGUGAUACAUAAGCAGAAAAGCCUGUGACAAGCCUUUGGCAGUGAAAUGAUAAGUGCAUCCAUUUCUUUGAGAUGAAGAGUUUUCUACUAGGGAACUAUUUCCUACUGAGAGCCCAUUGAUGAAGGUGAUCAACUACCUACUUAUUCUGCAUAUAUUCAACUAGACAUGCUUGCAUAUGCAUGCGCUUACACACACACUGACUUCACUAGGAAAAAAAAAAAAACAGACAAAAAGACAAAAUAUUCUGUUUAUAAAUAUUUUGCAUUACUAUUUUUAGAAUUUGUUUCUAAUUUGCCAUUACAUGAAGUGAUCUAGUUGCACUGCUGCCUCACUAUCUAGCAUAUCGAAAACCAUAUCCCAUAUUCCCAUGUAAUUCGUUGCAUGUCCUUUCCUUUUGAACUAACAUGAUAUAAAUAUCUUGCACGAUCCCGAGAUGGUAAACUAAAGAGAUUUGGUAGUAUAGCAAAUACUGUGCUUCACCUUAGAGUCCAAAGAAUGGUAGUCCCUUCUAAGUCCAUCUCAUCAAGAAAACAGCCUGUUUAUACUGUACAAUGAAUUGUCAUAUGGUUGUAAUUUCUUGACAAGAAGAACAAUAUCGUGGAAGCACAGCCGAAUUUCGGUAUGCUAAAAUGAAUUGCAGUUAAGGUCAUUUGGUCAUAUAACAGCCCUGACCAGGUUACAGGCUAUAAUAUUUAAGGACCAGUGUAUGGGCAUCCCUGCUGAGAACCAGCCAAUGACACCCUCAAGAAUCAAGAUCCCCUAGGUCAUAUAUUCCUGAAAUCUAUUCCACCUAGUUCUUACUAUUUCUGUGGUCGUCUUUAUAGGAUUUCUGUCAUUCAAAUUAACUGUUUUUUUUUUUUUUCAAUCAUGAAAUUCAGCAAAUUGUUGAAGCAUUAGCAUAAUGUAUACAGAUGUUUGCUCCCCAAAAGCUCCACUUUUUAUUUGAUUGCAUCCACUUUGCACAUAGUGUCAAGAAUGCAACAUGAGUGCUAUUACCCAAAAUUCCUUUUACAUUAUUUAGACAAUAGUUAUAUUGAAGUUUGGGUUGACAAAAUAAUAUGAGUUUUCUUAUCUCUUAUCCCAACUUUAUUGCAGUAAUUCCCAUGAUACAAUAUCAUAUUAUUAUUUUUAUAAUUUUUUUUUUAAAAGUUAAAAGAUAUUUAUUUGGUGGGACUUGAAGACAGGAGAAAAGAUAAAUACAGGUAGGUUGUACUUUACAGCACCCUGGCCCUCUGCUCCUGCUCUUCUUACACAGAAAUUUAAGAUUGAUAAUCAUAAAAAAUGUGUGUCCACGUUAGAUGUUGUUAGUGAUCAUGUGCAGGUUGCAGGGAAGCAAAGACAAAUGGUCUACUGCAGAUACAGUUAGCAGCACUGAGAAGGCACUCAUUCAUGCAUGCUUGGCUCUAUUAACUAAGUAAGGUCUGCAGUGAAUAAGGCAUUUAAUUAUUUGCAAAACCAGUCCCACCAUGGGGGCUCAACUGUUCUAGUUUAUAAUAUCCUCUGCUGUUCCCAUAUCUCUGUAUCAGUCUCUGUAUUCUUUUAUAAUAUAAUGACAGUGACAUGGUUUCUUCAGGUUAA
Molecule: long non-coding RNA, 4293 nt
Organism: Cornus florida
Lineage: Eukaryota; Viridiplantae; Streptophyta; Magnoliopsida; Cornales; Cornaceae
Exons: 5
Source: RefSeq, a predicted model, not a curated record